UUGGCCGAUUUUCUUAAAAAAAAAAAAAAAGAAGUUAAUUAGCUUGCCUUCCUUUUAGAAAUGACCCAGGGAAUAAAUACAUGAAGUUAGCACUUUUUAUGCCUUAAAAAGAGGAAACUUUGCAAUUGCCCAAUUCUCAAUUCCAGCACAGUCUAUGGGUCCUGGGCAGUAAUCAGCGGUAUGUCUCAUGAUAGUGAUGUGUCAGAAAGACCUCAUUUCUACUAUUUUUGCUAGUGACUCUUUAUCACGCUGAUCACAAGUGCUGGUGCUAGAUAACUAGACCAGAAAACCCCUUAGAUGAAAAGAUAAGGCCCCAGAUGCUGUCAAACACCUCCCAAUUUGUUUGUUGGAGAUCUCGGGUCAAAUCUUGGUGAGAGGUAAAUAGUAUCACACAGUCUCAGGAAGAUAAAAAGUGUCCAAGCCUUGGUCCCAACUUCCAGAAGCUUCCAGUCUUACUGGAGAGACAUUCUGUGGAAACACCCAAGGAGCUAAUGCAAAGCAGAUUGAAUGGACCCCAUUUAAAAGAUCCAUAUGAAGAUGCUUCUUUAUCCGGGUUGUGCCUCUCUCAAUAAAGUCCAGGCUCCUAGCAGUCAUGGGAAUCUCAUUUUCACAAUC
Molecule: long non-coding RNA, 615 nt
Organism: Bubalus bubalis (water buffalo)
Lineage: Eukaryota; Metazoa; Chordata; Mammalia; Artiodactyla; Bovidae
Exons: 2
Source: RefSeq, a predicted model, not a curated record